UGCAGUCGAGCGAAUGGAUAAGAGCUUGCUCUUAUGAAGUUAGCGGCGGACGGGUGAGUAACACGUGGGUAACCUGCCCAUAAGACUGGGAUAACUCCGGGAAACCGGGGCUAAUACCGGAUAACAUUUUGAACCGCAUGGUUCGAAAUUGAAAGGCGGCUUCGGCUGUCACUUAUGGAUGGACCCGCGUCGCAUUAGCUAGUUGGUGAGGUAACGGCUCACCAAGGCAACGAUGCGUAGCCGACCUGAGAGGGUGAUCGGCCACACUGGGACUGAGACACGGCCCAGACUCCUACGGGAGGCAGCAGUAGGGAAUCUUCCGCAAUGGACGAAAGUCUGACGGAGCAACGCCGCGUGAGUGAUGAAGGCUUUCGGGUCGUAAAACUCUGUUGUUAGGGAAGAACAAGUGCUAGUUGAAUAAGCUGGCACCUUGACGGUACCUAACCAGAAAGCCACGGCUAACUACGUGCCAGCAGCCGCGGUAAUACGUAGGUGGCAAGCGUUAUCCGGAAUUAUUGGGCGUAAAGCGCGCGCAGGUGGUUUCUUAAGUCUGAUGUGAAAGCCCACGGCUCAACCGUGGAGGGUCAUUGGAAACUGGGAGACUUGAGUGCAGAAGAGGAAAGUGGAAUUCCAUGUGUAGCGGUGAAAUGCGUAGAGAUAUGGAGGAACACCAGUGGCGAAGGCGACUUU
Molecule: ribosomal RNA, 690 nt
Filed under: Bacillus sp. Z34
Lineage: Bacteria; Bacillati; Bacillota; Bacilli; Caryophanales; Bacillaceae
Description: bacterial SSU rRNA
Rfam family: Bacterial small subunit ribosomal RNA
Source: RNAcentral